RNAcentral lists this ribosomal RNA (497 nucleotides) under uncultured bacterium. Its description in RNAcentral is "partial 16S ribosomal RNA". It matches the Rfam family "Bacterial small subunit ribosomal RNA", at positions 28 to 507 of the family's 1533-position model. The record is from RNAcentral.
GACGAACGCUGGCGGCGUGCCUAAUACAUGCAAGUUGAGCGCCGAAGGUUGGUACUUGUACCAACUGGAUGAGCAGCGAACGGGUGAGUAACGCGUGGGGAAUCUGCCUUUGAGCGGGGGACAACAUUUGGAAACGAAUGCUAAUACCGCAUAAAAACUUUAAACACAAGUUUUAAGUUUGAAAGAUGCAAUUGCAUCACUCAAAGAUGAUCCCGCGUUGUAUUAGCUAGUUGGUGAGGUAAAGGCUCACCAAGGCGAUGAUACAUAGCCGACCUGAGAGGGUGAUCGGCCACAUUGGGACUGAGACACGGCCCAAACUCCUACGGGAGGCAGCAGUAGGGAAUCUUCGGCAAUGGACGAAAGUCUGACCGAGCAACGCCGCGUGAGUGAAGAAGGUUGUCGGAUCGUAAAACUCUGUUGGUAGAGAAGAACGUUGGUGAGAGUGGAAAGCUCAUCAAGUGACGGUAACUACCCAGAAAGGGACGGCUAACUACGUG